Molecule: transfer RNA, 69 nt
Filed under: Tepidimonas thermarum
Lineage: Bacteria; Pseudomonadati; Pseudomonadota; Betaproteobacteria; Burkholderiales
Description: tRNA-Pro
Source: RNAcentral
UCGGUGCUGGCCAGGCGGGCCAACAGCUCGGGGCUGAUGGUGAGCAGGUCGCAGCCCGCCAGCGCCAGA